CUGCCUACGGGGGGCAGCAGUGGGGAAUAUUGCACAAUGGGGGAAACCCUGAUGCAGCGACGCCGCGUGAGUGAAGAAGUAAUUCGUUAUGUAAAGCUCUAUCAGCAGGGAAGAAAUGACGGUACCUGACUAAGAAGCCCCGGCUAACUACGUGCCAGCAGCCGCGGUAAUACGUAGGGGGCAAGCGUUAUCCGGAUUUACUGGGUGUAAAGGGAGCGUAGACGGCGAUGCAAGUCUGAAGUGAAAGGCGGGGGCCCAACCCCCGGACGGCUUUGGAAACUGUAAAGGUGGAGUGCAG
Molecule: ribosomal RNA, 298 nt
Filed under: uncultured bacterium
Lineage: Bacteria
Description: partial 16S ribosomal RNA
Rfam family: Bacterial small subunit ribosomal RNA
Source: RNAcentral